GACGUAGGGCGCGAGCGUUGUCCGGAUUUAUUGGGCGUAAAGAGCUCGUAGACGGCUUGUCGCGUCGAAUGUGAAAACCCACGGCUCAACUGUGGGCUUGCAUUCGAUACGGGCAGGCUAGAGUUCGGUAGGGGAGACUGGAAUUCCUGGUGUAGCGGUGAAAUGCGCAGAUAUCAGGAGGAACACCGGUGGCGAAGGCGGGUCUCUGGGCAGUAACUGACGCUGAGGAGCGAAAGCGUGGGGAGCGAACAGG
This 253-nucleotide ribosomal RNA is filed under the name uncultured bacterium. RNAcentral describes it as "partial 16S ribosomal RNA". It matches the Rfam family "Bacterial small subunit ribosomal RNA", at positions 524 to 776 of the family's 1533-position model. The record is from RNAcentral.